This is a non-coding RNA of Gossypium arboreum, 1704 nucleotides long. Lineage: Eukaryota; Viridiplantae; Streptophyta; Magnoliopsida; Malvales; Malvaceae. The record is from Rfam.
UAACAACAUCUAACCCUAGGUUGAUUAAUUGAAAUCUCUAUAACCUUGGGAAAAGGAUUGGCUCUGAGGGCUAGGCACGGGGGUCCCAGUCCUGAACCCGUUGGCUACCGGUGCACUACUAGAGCUGCUUCCGCGGGGAGAGCUGGUCGCCGCGUACCGACUGAGGGACGGACUGGGAACAGCUCCUUUGGAGGCCUUCCUCGGGCGACGAGCAGUCAACUCAGAACUAGUACAGACAAGGGGAAUACGACUGUUUAAUUAAAACAAAGCAUUGCGAUGGUCUCUGCGGAUGCUCACGCAAUGCGAUUUCUGCCCAGUGCUCUGAAUGUCAAAGUGAAGAAAUUCAACCAAGUGCGGGUAAACAGCGGGAAUAACUAUGACUCUCUUAAGGUAGCCAACUGCCUCGUCAUCUAAUUAGUGACGCGCAUGAAUGGAUUAAUGAGAUUCCUAUUGUCUAGGUCUACUAUCCCGCGAAACCAUAGCCAAGGGAACGGGCUUGGUAGAAUCAGUGGGGAAAGAAGACUCGGUUGAGCUUGACUCUAGUCCGACUUUGUGAAAUGACUUGAGAGGUGUAGGAUAAGUGGGAGCUCUCGGGCGAAAUUGAAAUACCACUACUUUUAACGUUAUUUUACUUAUUCCGUAAAUUAGAGGCGGGGCACGACCUCUCUUUUUGGACCCAAGGUUGGCUUCGGUCGGCUGAUCCGGGCGGAAGAUAUUGUCAGGUGGAGAGUUUGGCUGGGGUGGCACAUCUAUUAAAAGAUAACGCAGGUGUCCUAAGAUGAGCUCAUCGAUAACAGAAAUCUCAUGUGGAACAAAAGGGUAAAAGCUCGUUUGAUUCUGAUUUCCAGUACGAAUAUGAACCGUGGAAGCGUGGACUAUCGAUCCUUUAGACCUUCGGAAUUUGAAGCUAGAGGUGUCAGAAAAGUUACCACAAGGAUAACUGGCUUGUGGCAGCUAAGAGUUCAUAGCGACGUUGCUUUUCGAUCCUUCGAUGUCGGCUCUUCCUAUCAUUGUGGAGCAGAAUUCACCAAGUGUUGCAUGUCCAGUACCCAACAAUGAAUGAAUUGUCCCUGUCCCUCCCUUUUUGCAAUAAGAGCCUCCGGCACCUUUGGCCCCCGGUCGUGCGAUAGCCUCGUACACUAUCGGCAGCGUGUGCCAUCCCGUGGUGCGGGGCCAUCGUGCACCAUCGGCCCCUUUAAUGUGUCGGAGCAUUGGGCAACAUCGGUACCUUGGUGCAUCGGAUGUGCAGAAGGGUCGAGCACCAAAGCUAAUUUUGGGCCCCCGUUGGUGCAGAAGCUUCGGCACCAUAAAGUGUCCCUGUUUUAGACACAUGAAUGUCCCCUGGUAGCACAUUGACCAAGUUUUUUUAGCUCUUUAGGGGGGAGGUGAUUUUGAGGGGAAUAGGGGUUGUCCAAGGCACUGCCCACGCCCAUUUCAUGCCCAGACAUCGGUGCCCCCAUCGUCGGUUAGGUUUACGGCGGUGCUCCAGCGGUCUAUCCCGGUAGUGCUCUGGCGAGCCAUCUAGACGGUACUCCGGUGAGCCAUCCUAGAAUAUCAAAAAUGAUGCUUCAAGUCGUCCCAAUCCCUCCCUUUUUGAAUCAUCCAAGACCCUUUCCUUUUGGAAUAAGAGCCUCCGACACCUUCGGCCCUUGGUCGUGCCAGAGCAUCAGGCACCCUUGGUAACCUAGGACGUCGAUAGUGCGG